Molecule: ribosomal RNA, 1133 nt
Filed under: Bacillus cereus
Lineage: Bacteria; Bacillati; Bacillota; Bacilli; Caryophanales; Bacillaceae
Description: partial 23S ribosomal RNA
Rfam family: Bacterial large subunit ribosomal RNA
Source: RNAcentral
GGUUAAGUUAGAAAGGGCGCACGGUGGAUGCCUUGACACUAGGAGUCGAUGAAGGACGGGACUAACGCCGAUAUGCUUCGGGGAGCUGUAAGUAAGCUUUGAUCCGAAGAUUUCCGAAUGGGGAAACCCACCAUACGUAAUGGUAUGGUAUCCUUAUCUGAAUACAUAGGGUAAGGAAGACAGACCCAGGGAACUGAAACAUCUAAGUACCUGGAGGAAGAGAAAGCAAAUGCGAUUUCCUGAGUAGCGGCGAGCGAAACGGAACAUAGCCCAAACCAAGAGGCUUGCCUCUUGGGGUUGUAGGACAUUCUAUACGGAGUUACAAAGGAACGAGGUAGACGAAGCGACCUGGAAAGGUCCGUCGUAGAGGGUAACAACCCCGUAGUCGAAACUUCGUUCUCUCUUGAAUGUAUCCUGAGUACGGCGGAACACGUGAAAUUCCGUCGGAAUCUGGGAGGACCAUCUCCCAAGGCUAAAUACUCCCUAGUGAUCGAUAGUGAACCAGUACCGUGAGGGAAAGGUGAAAAGCACCCCGGAAGGGGAGUGAAAGAGAUCCUGAAACCGUGUGCCUACAAAUAGUCAGAGCCCGUUAACGGGUGAUGGCGUGCCUUUUGUAGAAUGAACCGGCGAGUUACGAUCCCGUGCGAGGUUAAGCUGAAGAGGCGGAGCCGCAGCGAAAGCGAGUCUGAAUAGGGCGUUUAGUACGUGGUCGUAGACCCGAAACCAGGUGAUCUACCCAUGUCCAGGGUGAAGUUCAGGUAACACUGAAUGGAGGCCCGAACCCACGCACGUUGAAAAGUGCGGGGAUGAGGUGUGGGUAGCGGAGAAAUUCCAAUCGAACCUGGAGAUAGCUGGUUCUCCCCGAAAUAGCUUUAGGGCUAGCCUUAAGUGUAAGAGUCUUGGAGGUAGAGCACUGAUUGGACUAGGGGUCCUCAUCGGAUUACCGAAUUCAGUCAAACUCCGAAUGCCAAUGACUUAUCCUUAGGAGUCAGACUGCGAGUGAUAAGAUCCGUAGUCAAAAGGGAAACAGCCCAGACCGCCAGCUAAGGUCCCAAAGUGUGUAUUAAGUGGAAAAGGAUGUGGAGUUGCUUAGACAACUAGGAUGUUGGCUUAGAAGCAGCCACCAUUUAAAG